Molecule: non-coding RNA, 3668 nt
Organism: Microcebus murinus (gray mouse lemur)
Lineage: Eukaryota; Metazoa; Chordata; Mammalia; Primates; Cheirogaleidae
Source: RefSeq, a predicted model, not a curated record
CUGGAGCUAGAAAGGGUUGGAGUGACCAUGUUGGGCCAUUUCGGAGCAAAGCAAAGUGAUCAAGAGAGAAGGGAAAGAGAAAAAAAUCAACAUCUUUACUGAGAUGGCUUAAAGUGCUGGGAAGUCAUGAUGUCAAGAACCAAACUCUUCCUCCACCAGUCUGGUACGCCCUUUGUUUCCAUCCGCUAUGAACUGGGUUUUCAGUAAUUCCCAACGCAAAGAGCCCUAACUGACUUAGUUUGCCUCCUUCAUUCUGAGCUCCUAGAAUUGAGCCUGUGUCUUAUUCUUUUUCAUAUCUUCACCCUGAGGAGGUACCCUGAUUUCUCUGGUAGGAGGAAAAGGGUGGGAGCAGAAUCCAGGCUUGGCUGACCAGAAAUGGAAGCAGGAUGGAAAAUGGACCUACUGCGUGUCAAAUCCAAUGCUAGAUAUUUUAUGGAUAUAACACCUGAGGUUGAUAUUAUCAUUAUUACUUUCCUUAUAAGGAAACUGGAGCUCAGGAGUAACUGCCCAGGGUUCUGUUACCAUUAAUGGCAGAGAAGCUCCCACUGGACCACAAAUAACAACUGUGAACUCUGGCAAAGAUUUGAAAACAACAACAACAAUGACAAAAACUGCCUAAAGGUGCUGGAAAGCAACCAAAAGCAGGCAAAAAGUAGAGGGGGGUCUGCUUACAAGCAGAUUAGAGAUGAACGAGGAGUCAAUGAACUUGAAAAUACAUCAAUAGAAAAUAUCCAGUAUGCAAAAGCAAAAUGAACUGAAGUUCUAACAUGCAUAAUUGGAGUCUCAGAAAGGAAGGAAAGAGAGAAUGAGACAGAAAAAAAAAGUUUGAAACAAUAAUGACUGAAAUUUUCCCAUGUUUGGUGAAGACAAAUAUACACAUCCAAGAAUUUUAGUGCACAUAAUAAAACUACUAACUACCAAAUAUAAAGGGAAAAUUUUGGAAAUGGCCAGAGAGAAAAACAACAUAUUUCAUACAGGGGAACAAGGGUAUAAAUAUCACUGAUCUCUCAUCAGAAAAAAUGGAGGCCAGAAGAGAGUAGAACAACAUCUUUAAAGCUUUGAAAGAAAAACAAAAUACCUGUCAACUCAGUAUUGUAUAUCCAGUGAGAAUAUCUUUUAAGAAUGAAAAUCAAAUAUUCGUUCAGAUAAAUGAAAACUAAGAGAAUUCAUCACCAGUAGACUUGCACAAAACAAAUGCUAAAGGAAGUUUUUCAGAUGGAAGGGAAAUUAUAUCACACAGAAACUUAGAUUAUAGCAAGGAACAAAGCGCACCAGAAGUGACAAAUAUAUGGCAACAUACGUAAGACUUCCUCCAAAGGAAGCGCUUCUCAGCGCUCAGAGCAGGACCUGCUGCAUCAGAAUCACCCCAGGAGUGAUUUCAAAACAUUCAAGCCCAGGCCGCGCCCUGUGAGAAUCUGAUUCUGGGAGUCUGGAACGGGGCCAGGUGUCAGAAAUUAACAGCUGUGCCUGCCUCACCAGGAUGUUCUGAGCAUCGAGCAAGCUCUCAGGAUCAGCACCUUGCAAGCGCGUGUGUGCGCAUGAACCAGCUGGAGAGCUUGCGAAAAUUUCUGGAGGUCAGAAGUACGAAACGAGUCCUAGGGGACUCAAAUCAAGGUGCUGAAGUCCUGGUUCCUUCCGCAGGCUCUGGGGGAGAAUCCGUUCCCUGACUCUUCGAGCUCCUAGAGGCUGCUGGCAUUCCUUGGCUUGUGGCGGCAUCACUGUCAUCUCUGCUUCUGUUGUCACAUCAUUGUCUUCUCUUCUCUCUGACCUCUGACCCUGCUCCCUUUUAGAAAGGACCCCUGUGAUUCCAUCAAGCCCACCUGGAUAAUCCAGGUUCACCUCCCCAUGUCAAGAGGUUUCACUUUAUCACACCUGCAAAGUCCCUUGUACCUCAUCAGGUAACAUAGGUUACACGGUCACAGGUUCUGGGGGUUGGGAGGUGGACAGCUUUGGGGGCCGCUGUUCUGCCAGGCACAACUGUCCGGGUGUUUCCAUUGGACCCUCCUGAGUGAGACCCUGCCCAAAGAGCUUAGGCUGCCGGUGAUCUCCUGGGACCAAAUGUACCAUUAUGGUCCCUUCAGAGCCAAGGCUCUGAGCUGCCAAUGGUGGCCGUGGGAGCGACUCAUUCCACUGACCGUUCCUUGGUGUGGAUGUUCCCUGUACCAGGCAUCAAUCUCCCAGGGCUCAGAGGCCGAGGAGCAGGGCCAAGGUCAUGCUGUCCCCCGAGCCCUGAAGCGCAUGCUCGCCAUAGAGCACACUGCUCCUAAGAGCCAGCACAGAGGUGACUUCUCAGGCAGCAGAAUCAGGAGAAAGUUGGUGGGUGGGACAGACAGAAGUCAGAGCAUUGGCCAAGGAGGAAAAGUGGAUUGUCAUUGACAUGGAAAAGGAAGCCAAAAAAAAAAAAAAAACCAGUCCUAUUUUUCCCUAAAAAUCAUUCCCUUAACCCUGUGGACCUUGACACACUGGGACAAGCUGGGCUGACUGGUCCAACGGUCACAUGUUCUGAGCCUAUGAGUGGCUCUUGGGGUCCAGCAGGGCGACAGGCACCACGUCCAGGUCCAGGUCGUGGCUGGCUCACAGGGCGACGGAGCCACCCUUGUCUUGCCCACCGUCUCCAUCCACGCAAAGAUGCUUCUCGGGCUUGCGGGCAGGGUGGCCAGCCAUCCUGAUUUUCCUGGGACUAAGGGCUUUCCUGGGAAAACCGGGACAAGGUGGUCACCCUACCUGGAGGGCAGCCACACAGACCCCAGCCUCGGGCUUGGCUGUUGUCCACUCUCCAGCCCGGGCGACUUGCAGGCACCCUAACACCUCCAGCGGGCUGGGCUCCCAGCUGUCACAAAGCACUCUCCAUAGGAAGCAGCAGCCGUGGUGACACAGGAGCUCGGGGACUGCUGGAGAGGACAGCCCUCUCCCCUGGGGCUGCUGAGUCACACCGGGUCAAGUCGGGUGAUUCAGGGGCUCUACUUCUUUCCUCACGUAGGGGUGCAGAGGGGGGUACUCAGACUGGAAGGAAGGAAGGGAAGAACUAAAUCUCAAAAGUUAAGAGUCCACGGCGAAACCUGAACGCCCAUUUUGAAGCCUGCAGUGGGGGCCGGCCUUUCCAAGGUCAAGGCUACGCAGGUUGGGGGCCCAGGACCUGCAGCUGGGAAGAGGCGUGGUAUGGUGGGAAGGGUUUGCUGGGGCCAGGUAGACCCUGGAUUACCCGCUUCCCAGCAGGGACCCUGAGCAAGCCCCCUAGCGUCUCUGAGCUUCAUUUUCUCAUGGUAAAAAGAAGCCAUGGAUACCUCUGUGCAGAGUUAAGAUGAAUAAUAAACAACCAGCAUGUGAACUUGCCUAAUGCCCAGUAGGUCGCUCCUGUCCUCAGCCCCAGAUCAAGGUCAAUAGGAAAAUAAAUGAGCAAGCAGAGGCUGCCUGGUGAGUCUUGAAUUAGAACAAAGGGAGCUGGAUAAACCCAGAGCUGUUUCACCUCAAGCCCUGGGCCAGGGCCCUGGCCUCCCUCGGACAAGUUCUCUCUGCUGCUCCUUCCUUAGUAUUACUCAGCCGUCCCCUGGCUCUCCCAUCCUUCCAGCAGUACCUCAUGUUGCCUGUGUUACACAUGAUUAAAUUCUAGGUCUUCUACAGGACACAUAGGCUUCCUGCUGGACUCUUUGAUUUUUUUUAUCAUCAGU